AGAAUCAACGCUGGUGGCGUGCCUAAUACAUGCAAGUCGAACGCGAAAGCCCCGCAAGGGCAAGUAGAGUGGCAAACGGGUGAGUAACGCGUGGGCGACCUACCUUCGAGUGGGGAUAACCUUCCGAAAGGAGGGCUAAUACCGCAUGACAUCCCGUGUUUGGAUACACGGACAUCAAAGCCGGGAUCGCAAGACCUGGCGCUUGGAGAGGGGCCCGCGUCCGAUUAGCUAGUUGGUGAGGUAAUGGCUCACCAAGGCUUCGAUCGGUA
RNAcentral lists this ribosomal RNA (269 nucleotides) under uncultured bacterium. RNAcentral's name for it is "partial small subunit ribosomal RNA". It matches the Rfam family "Bacterial small subunit ribosomal RNA", at positions 26 to 285 of the family's 1533-position model. The record is from RNAcentral.